RNAcentral lists this ribosomal RNA (497 nucleotides) under uncultured bacterium. RNAcentral describes it as "partial 16S ribosomal RNA". It matches the Rfam family "Bacterial small subunit ribosomal RNA", at positions 28 to 507 of the family's 1533-position model. The record is from RNAcentral.
GAUGAACGCUGGCGGCGUGCCUAAUACAUGCAAGUCGAGCGAACGGACGAGAAGCUUGCUUCUCUGAUGUUAGCGGCGGACGGGUGAGUAACACGUGGAUAACCUACCUAUAAGACUGGGAUAACUUCGGGAAACCGGAGCUAAUACCGGAUAAUAUUUUGAACCGCAUGGUUCAAAAGUGAAAGACGGUCUUGCUGUCACUUAUAGAUGGAUCCGCGCUGCAUUAGCUAGUUGGUAAGGUAACGGCUUACCAAGGCAACGAUGCAUAGCCGACCUGAGAGGGUGAACGGCCACACUGGAACUGAGACACGGUCCACACUCCUACGGGAGGCCGCAGUAGGGACUCUUCCGCAAUGGGCGAAAGCCUGACGGAGCAACGCCGCGUGAGUGAUGAAGGUCUUCGGAUCGUAAAACUCUGUUAUUAGGGAAGAACAUAUGUGUAAGUACCUGUGCACAUCUUGACGGUACCUAAUCAGAAAGCCACGGCUAACUACGUG